AACGAACGCUGGCGGCGUGGAUAAGACAUGCAAGUCGAACGGGACAGCUUGGUAGCAAUAUUAAGCUGUUCAGUGGCGAACGGGUGCGUAACACGUGGAUUACAUUCCGGGAAGUGAGGAAUAGCCCAGGGAAACUUGGAUUAAUGCCUCAUGUGGUCGCAAGACUAAAGGCGCAAGCCGCUUCCUGAUUGGUCCGCGGCCUAUCAGCUUGUUGGUGAGGUAAUGGCUCACCAAGGCUACGACGGGUAGCUGGUCUAAGAGGACGACCAGCCACACUGGAACUGAGACACGGUCCAGACACCUACGGGUGGCAGCAGUCGAGAAUCUUUCACAAUGGGGGAAACCCUGAUGGAGCGACGCCGCGUGGAGGAUAAGGUCCUCGGAUUGUAACUCCUGUCAUGCGAGAACAAAGCCCGCAAGGGCCUGAUAGUAUCGCAAGAGGAAGAGACGGCUAACUCUGUGCCAGCCGCCGCGGUAACAC
Molecule: ribosomal RNA, 481 nt
Filed under: uncultured bacterium
Lineage: Bacteria
Description: bacterial SSU rRNA
Rfam family: Bacterial small subunit ribosomal RNA
Source: RNAcentral